Molecule: ribosomal RNA, 202 nt
Filed under: uncultured Bacillota bacterium
Lineage: Bacteria; Bacillati; Bacillota
Description: uncultured Firmicutes bacterium partial 16S ribosomal RNA
Rfam family: Bacterial small subunit ribosomal RNA
Source: RNAcentral
GUGACCGGCCACACUGGGACUGAGACACGGCCCAGACUCCUACGGGAACUCCUACGGGAGGCAGCAGUAGGGAAUUUUCGGCAAUGGGGGAAACCCUGACCGAGCAACGCCGCGUGAAGGAAGAAGUAAUUCGUUAUGUAAACUUCUGUCAUAGAGGAAGAACGGUGGAUAUAGGGAAUGAUAUCCAAGUGACGGUACUCUA